Molecule: ribosomal RNA, 400 nt
Filed under: Unguicaris pilipes
Lineage: Eukaryota; Metazoa; Arthropoda; Malacostraca; Decapoda; Palaemonidae
Description: partial 12S ribosomal RNA
Rfam family: Microsporidia small subunit ribosomal RNA (bases 50-400)
Source: RNAcentral
AAACUAGGAUUAGAUACCCUAUUAUACUUUACAUAGAAUUUGUUUACUUGGGUAGUAAUAAGUUAUGGUCUUAAAAUCUAAAGGAUUUGGCGGUAUCCAAGUCUGGUUAGAGGAACCUGCACUGUAAACGAUAAUCCACGAACUAUCUUACUCUGUCUUGUUUAUCAGUUUAUAUACCGCCAUUAUAAAGUAAUAUUUAAAAUUAUUUAUUGAAAUAGAAGGUUUCUAGUAUAUUAGGUCAGGGUGUAGCCAAUGAUAGAGUAGUUGUGGGUUACAAUAUAAUAUUUAUAUAGACGGAUAAGGCUUUGAAAUGGUUUUAGAAGGUGGAUUUAAUAGUAAAUAUAUUUUAAUAUGGUAUAUUGAUAGUAGCUCUAGGAUAUGUACACAUCGCCCGCUCUUA